CUCUGUGACUCCUACGGGAGGCAGCAGUGGGGAAUAUUGCACAAUGGGCGCAAGCCUGAUGCAGCCAUGCCGCGUGUAUGAAGAAGGCCUUCGGGUUGUAAAGUACUUUCAGCAGUGAGGAAGGCGGAGUCGUUAAUAGCGGCCUCGUUUGACGUUAGCUGCAGAAGAAGCACCGGCUAACUCCGUGCCAGCAGCCGCGGUAAUACGGAGGGUGCGAGCGUUAAUCGGAAUUACUGGGCGUAAAGCGCAUGCAGGUGGUUCGUUAAGUCAGAUGUGAAAGCCCGGGGCUCAACCUCGGAAUUGCAUUUGAAACUGGCAGACUAGAGUACUGUAGAGGGGGUAGAAUUUCAGGUGUAGCGGUGAAAUGCGUAGAGAUCUGAAGGAAUACCGGUGGCGAAGGCGGCCCCCUGGACAGAUACUGACACUCAGAUGCGAAAGCGUGGGGAGCAAACAGGAUUAGAUACCCUGGAG
Molecule: ribosomal RNA, 471 nt
Filed under: uncultured bacterium
Lineage: Bacteria
Description: bacterial SSU rRNA
Rfam family: Bacterial small subunit ribosomal RNA
Source: RNAcentral